UGAAAAGGUAUAGUGUUAUGAGAAAAAAGCAGAACUCGAGGCUUGAGCCUUUCUUUCGAAGAUGGAGAGCAAACAGAGUGAUGCGGGCAGCUGGGGCCUCGGCAAACUCUACGGCGUUGACCCCGUGACCCCUUGAGGUCCCGCCGUUUUUUCAGUCUGCAACAGCGACAACAGAGAAGGCAGGAAUUCCAAGGAGAUUACCCUCUGUGUUGCUUGCUCAUAAGACGCGCCGCUUUUGUCAUCUUAAAGAACUUGUCCACCCAUGUCUUUUUCUAAAAUUGCUGUAUACAUACAGUACUGUGUCUUAGGCAGUCACAGAAAAUGAUGAUCUUCACAUUGGUGUAAAACUAUGAUAUUAUGUCUGUCAAAGUGUGUCAGCUUAGCCAUUCCAGAACCCCCCUAAAAUCACCUCAGUAUUUGCAGCAACCAUCCAAUACACCCACGUAGUUUUUGAUUGGCCUUGUUUGGCCAAUCAAAACCUUGUAAAGGUAUAUAACUAAGUAAGUUUAUUAAUUAAUUGAGCUGGUGGAGAAAUUUAACGAAUACGUAGAAUGGAUGGGGUGGCCCUAAGGAGAGGAUUGGGAAACAAAGCCGUAUUCAUCUAGGCGUCCAGCAAUAAUGUUAAAUUGUUUUUUUUUCUGAGAAAAUAUACAAUUACUGCCACGAUAAAUAGCUUUAAACAUUUUCUUUGACUGUCUAAGACUUAAAUAGUACUGUUUUUAUAAAAUCUGUUACUGCUCUAAAAUUUGUGUCUCUUGUUUUUCAUAGGCAGAAUUGACAAGCACACAACUGUAAUGUUGUAUUUGUACUUCACAAUUUUUUUUUCUUCUGUUUAGCACCAUGAAACACUGGUCAGCACAACCGACAUUUUUAUUCCUUUUUUUUGUUUUUGUUUUGAGCAUUAAUAGCCUAUCAGACAGGAGAAUGAAUUUGUGGGAGAGGCUGUAUGCCUGGAAUCUCCUAGACGUGGGAAUCCAGAAGUCAAAUGUGUCACCGAGUCAGUGCAGCAAUGUGGCGGAGAAAACAUCAAUGUGGGAACGCAACUGGUGGCCGUGAGUCAUCCAUACUGUGUCCACGUUGCGCGAACAUCAUGAAGGAUGAUGUCAUAAUCGGCCAAUGGCGUGCUAAGGUUCCCCCCGCUUGUCAUCACUUUGGAAGGCGGUGGGAGGCUGGGCGGCAAUUAUCUGCAAAGUCCAGGGUCACAGUGAGCCUGGAGCCCAACCCAGGAAGCACAGGACACAAUGCUGGGAACACCCUAGGUUCUCAAAUGGCACCAAGCGAGAACCAGCCCAGCACCGGCACCGGCACUGCGCUGGUGGAAGUGAGGCAUGUAAGUACAUAUAGAUAACUUGAGAUCACGGUUAAUGCCUGUAGAUGUGUUGCGAUCAUCGAAGAUGGCUGUAGAUGUGUUGAAACUGCUGUA
Molecule: non-coding RNA, 1423 nt
Organism: Paramormyrops kingsleyae
Lineage: Eukaryota; Metazoa; Chordata; Actinopteri; Osteoglossiformes; Mormyridae
Source: RefSeq, a predicted model, not a curated record